Molecule: small nucleolar RNA, 92 nt
Organism: Vitis vinifera (wine grape)
Lineage: Eukaryota; Viridiplantae; Streptophyta; Magnoliopsida; Vitales; Vitaceae
Rfam family: small nucleolar RNA snoR114
Source: Rfam
AGGCCGUGAUGAGUAAUUUGCGCUGAAUUGUGAUGGCUGGGUCCCAUCACCAUCGUCUGAUCUUUCGGACGACAACUGGCGCAUCUGAGCUC